RNAcentral lists this ribosomal RNA (395 nucleotides) under uncultured bacterium. Its description in RNAcentral is "bacterial SSU rRNA". It matches the Rfam family "Bacterial small subunit ribosomal RNA", at positions 360 to 774 of the family's 1533-position model. The record is from RNAcentral.
AAUCUUCCACAAUGGGCGAAAGCCUGAUGGAGCGACGCCGCGUGAGGGAUGAAGGCCUUAGGGUUGUAAACCUCUAAAAGAGGGACGAUAAUGACGGUACCACUUGAAUAGCACCGGCUAACUCCGUGCCAGCAGCCGCGGUAAUACGGAGGGUGCAAGCGUUAUCCGGAAUCACUGGGCGUAAAGGGCGCGUAGGCGGUCUGUUAGUUCCGAUGUUAAAUCCCGGGGCUCAGCCCCGGAUAAGCGUUGGAUACUGGCAGGCUAGACGGUUGGAGAGGCGAGUGGGAUUACCGGUGUAGCGGUGGAAUGCGUAGAUACUGGGAGGAAAACCAAUUGCGAAGGCGGCUCGCUGGACAACCCGUGACGCUGAGGCGCGAAAGUGUGGGGAACAAACC